Ictalurus punctatus (channel catfish) is the source of this 591-nucleotide long non-coding RNA. NCBI's taxonomy places the organism in Eukaryota, Metazoa, Chordata, Actinopteri, Siluriformes, Ictaluridae. The record is from Ensembl.
CUGUAAUGAAAAUUGACGUAGUUUGUUCCACUUCUUUCUGACACUUCUCUCAUAACUCUACAUGUGAUUCCCUACCUUCUUCAAAUCAUACAUACUCAAUAUUUAAUCACAUCACCACAUCAUACAUACAUACUCAAUAUUUAAUCACAUCACCACAUCAUACAUACAUACAUACUCAAUAUUUAAUCACAUGACCACAUCAUACAUACUCAAUAUUUAAUCACAUCACCACAUCAUACACAUACUCAAUAUUUAAUCACAUCACCACAUCACACAUACUCAAUAUUUAAUCACAUCACCACAUCACACAUACUCAAUAUUUAAUCACAUGACCACAUCAUACAUACAUACAUACUCAAUAUUUAAUCACAUGACCACAUCAUACAUACAUACUCAAUAUUUAAUCACAUGACCACAUCAUACAUACAUACAUACUCAAUAUUUAAUCACAUCACCACAUCACACAUACUCAAUAUUUAAUCACAUGACCACAUCAUACAUACAUACAUACUCAAUAUUUAAUCACAUGACCACAUCAUACAUACUCAAUAUUUAAUCACAUCACCACAUCACACAUACUCAAUAUUUAAU